AUCUGGGCGGCGGAAUUCAGGACGGCUGGCGGGUCUCGCGCUCGUUCGGCCGUUUGAUAUUUCCGUCGCCGUGUCAGACGUCGCGACCUGUUCGUCGUCGGUCCUUGCUCGGAGGAAUUGCGAUCGAGUUCGUUGCGGGCGCGUUUCGGCGUGUCUCGCGGCGAAGACGCGACUCUCUGGCUGACGACGGACAGUAAGCAACGGUGUCCGGCGCCGUGUCUCGCACUCGGCGUCGGUGCCGGUCAGCGACGAUUUCUUCGGGCCUCUUUCCGACCCGUCUUGAAACACGGACCAAGGAGUCUAACAUGCGCGCGAGUCGCGGGGUUUCGAGCGUGCCACGGUGCGCUCGUUACUUCCGAAACCCGUACGUUGAAGGCGUAAUGAAAGUGAACAGGGAAGAUGGCGUUCCGAGUCCACGUACCGUGAUCGAGUAUCGCGGCCGGACGUCCGCACUCCCGGGGCGUCUCAAUGGCUCGCCACGGAUGCGGACGAUCGUCUCUCGGGGCGGUCGUCAGUCUGUGGCGGUCCGA
This 530-nucleotide ribosomal RNA is filed under the name Aulacaspis difficilis. RNAcentral describes it as "eukaryotic LSU rRNA". Lineage: Eukaryota; Metazoa; Arthropoda; Insecta; Hemiptera; Diaspididae. The record is from RNAcentral.